UCUCCCUCGUCAGCCCCUCUCGCGUCCUCCUCGAUUCCUUCCACUCCCUCGCGACCCUCACCGGCCACCGGCGACCUCCAACCCUUGUUCUCCGCCUCGUCGCCAUAGCCACCAUGAGCUCGAGCAGAGGAGCGGCUCGGCAGGACGAGGGGGCAGCAGCCAGCCGCGCCUCGUCCGUGUCGCGUGGUGGCCCAGAUGCGGUCGCCCCGUGCUCUGCCUCCACGAGCGCGGCCUCGAUCCAGACUCGGCAGGAGGAGGGGAGCAGCAGCCGGCCAUGCUGUGUUGGCCGUGGAGGAGGAAGGAGCUCAUGUGGCUAGGGUUCGGCUACCCUCGUCAUCCAUCUCCUCGAUCUCUCUCUGUCUGGCCGUGGUCUGAAGGAGGAAGAAGGGACCCAACGAAAUCGAGCGAUGCGGGCUGCAAUAGCCUAAAUAGGUGGCGGUCGAGACCACGGGAGCGGGAGCGACGGCCAUCUCCCCCCGCCCCACUCUCUUUACCUCUUCUAUGGAGAUGCUUUGCUGGGGACAUAUGAUUUCAUCCCAUUCUGUACUAUCCAUCAGGCCUCGGAUCCAUGGCUUCUCCAUCUUCCUCCUCCAGCCCCUUUCUCCAUGUCGGCCAUCCAAGAUAGAGACGGCUUGGAUGCAAGGGCCAAGCAUCGGCAUGGAUGAAGGCCUCCAAGAUUUAAGUGGUCAAUUAUGAAUGACGAUGCAGCCUGCAGAGUCAGGGAACCGACACCCAAAUAAAUUCAGGCCAGUCCUCGAUGUGAAGAACCUAAGGGAGGCGGAUCCCGACCCUUAUGACAGCCAAAAUUAGGCCGCCACUCGUCUCUCUCCCGCACCUGCUCUUCAGAUGGCCAACAACAUUUCGCGAGCAAUGACUACUGUCCAGUUAAGAGCAAUUCUUCUGUGUGGAAGGCUCUUUGUUCACACUCAAAUACUACCUCUGAAACAUGGAAGAAGGAAAAGGUUACUCUUCUGAUCUUGAGAAAACAGUUUCAGAGAAGCUAGCAGAUGCAGAAGAAUCUCUGAGGAAGUUGAAGCAGAUCUGUUCAGCACCCUGCAUCGUUACUUGAACCACCUUUCUGGCCUUGUAACUGUACCCCUUUAACAGAGUUCGACGUGUAUCGGUACCAUGUAGUUCUCGGAAUUUUUAGGCUGAUGGAAAUACAUAGUUUGACGUGUAUCGAUAUCUUCAGACCUUUGCUUCCGUAGUUUCGCCGAACUGAACUUCUCUAAAAUACAUGAACUAGAGCUUAGUCUUUAGAUAUUUUGUUUUUAAUUUAAAAUUGUUCAGAUUGAUUACUCCACCAUUAAAAUGUUGUUUAUAGAGGCAAAAUGCUUGUAUAUAUAUGACUGGUUGAUACAAAAUCUGGACAGUUAUGUCAGACUUUUUAUCUUGGCAUUUGCUUUUCAUGAAUCUACUAAAGUUUUUACCUGAUGAUCUUCUGUGCAGCUAUAUUCAGGUUAUAGGGCCUCUAUAGAAAAAGCAAUAAUUUGAAUUAUUUUCUUAAAUUUGCCAUUCUAAAUUCCUCAAUAAUUAUAACAACUCAAGUGUAUCCAUAUAGUUACAUAUCACAUUAGAUUUUCUUCUUAACUGGAUUUUAUGCCAUGUAAUGUAGGUUCUCUUCAAUUUGUUGUUGUGCUAGGCAUGAACAGAAUGGCUUCCUCUUCUUGCGAACCACACUGAUGUUGGCUUCUGGUUUCUGCUGUAAUGGUCUUUUUUUACUACGGACAGUGUUUCUUGAGGCUAUGUCUCUGCUAUAGGUCACCGCAUUUCGGGGGACUAAGUCCGACGACGGGAGAUUCUACAUAUAUUUUCUAAAAGACAUGUCGCUUGGUCGAGGCCUUGAUCAUGGUGAUAUGUGUUUAUUCGUCCGGUGACUUAGUAGAACAAUAACCUCUGUGCACAGUGAUGUUUCAGUUUCUACUAGAAGGUUUCAAAAUUGAAUGCACGGAGGGUUUAAAUGAGUCUUGUACAGGACUGAGAACAAAUUAUGCUUUCUGAGUUUCAAGCUACUGAAAGUAAUUGAAGCUUUGCUUUCGCUAUGUAACAAUGGUUGCAUGUGUUAAUUAGUGGUGCACAUUUUUUGAGACCGUCCAAAAUUCUAUUAUAAAGUGCUUAUAUGAAA
Triticum urartu is the source of this 2125-nucleotide long non-coding RNA. RefSeq lists it as uncharacterized. NCBI's taxonomy places the organism in Eukaryota, Viridiplantae, Streptophyta, Magnoliopsida, Poales, Poaceae. The record is from RefSeq and is a predicted model, not a curated record.